UUUCCAUUGAAAUUUUCUUCCGUUCCAUUCAUAAUUGGAUUACGAAAUUCCUUCGUUAUCAGUCCUACAUUUUGUUUGAGUGACCUCUUUCAUCUGUCGUCCGCAUCUGACAAAGUGUUUUUGUUCUUCUUCGACAUGUCUUGGAGGUGUUGUGUUUCUGGUUGUGGUUCCGAAGGAGUACCUUUAUUUCGUAUUCCAAAAUUUAAUGAAAGUUUAAAAACUGCUUUGCAAGAAAAAAAAAGGAACGAAGAAUUGUUUGGCUUCAAAAGCUUAACGUGAAGGAAUGUGAUUUAAACAACAACACUCGUGUUUGCUGUCGUCAUUUUGCAUCUGGCAGGCCAUGUAAGAAUUCUUUCGAUAACUCUCACCCGGACUGGGCACCUUCACUACACGUCAGAAAUUCUGUUUUUGACAGGGUUGUACAGAGAAACAUUAGUCGACAUUCCAGAAGGCUUGAAAGGGAAUCAAGAACAUUGGAACAGAUCAAUGCUGUCGUAAACAAUGGAAAGAGUGCCGCCAAUAGACAAGAUAAUGAUGUGCCCAAUGCAGUGGUAAACAACGAACAUGAUUGUCUGAUAUGUUGGAAAGUUGAAGCAAUGAUUUUGCAUCUGAACAAGUUCCUAAUUUUUUCGGUGUAGAAAUCAGCGAUGAAUGUAACAACGGUGUUGAAAACCAACAUGAAGCUACUGGAGUCUACAAAAUGUUGGAACUGAUGACAAGGGAAAGGGACUGUCUACUUGUUGAAAAUGAGAAAUUACGUAGAAUGAAUGAGCAGUUAACUGCAUCUGAAAAAACCCUUCAACAACAAGUGAAUAAUUUGAA
Daphnia magna is the source of this 822-nucleotide long non-coding RNA. RefSeq lists it as uncharacterized. The record is from RefSeq and is a predicted model, not a curated record. Lineage: Eukaryota; Metazoa; Arthropoda; Branchiopoda; Diplostraca; Daphniidae. The transcript is spliced from 6 exons.